AUGGUCAAGUUACAAAGAGCACAAGGGGAAUGCCUUGGCACUGAGAGCCGAUGAAGGACGCGACAAGCUGCGAUAAGCUUCGG
RNAcentral lists this ribosomal RNA (83 nucleotides) under Feifania hominis. Its description in RNAcentral is "Clostridiales bacterium BX7 partial 23S ribosomal RNA". It matches the Rfam family "Bacterial large subunit ribosomal RNA", at positions 1 to 81 of the family's 2925-position model. Lineage: Bacteria; Bacillati; Bacillota; Clostridia; Eubacteriales; Feifaniaceae. The record is from RNAcentral.